UCUCCUUAAUCCGGGGUCCUACGUGGCCUAUCUAAGAAUUCAAGAUUUAAAAUCCCUGCAAUUCUAGAGCUUCUGGCAUAAUAUUAGUCAUCCUAUGUGGCAAAAUAUAUCCUACAUGGCAUAUCUUACUUUAAACAAUCUCUUAAAACACAAAAUGAAUAUUUCUCUUCCUCAAAUUCAAUUUCCCUAACCCCCGUCUCCACACAGCUCUCCCCUCCCCCGUCUGAUUCGCGUCAUCGCCGCUGCAGGCGUCGUCGCUCCAUCUCCACACCAGACUCCCCCUUCGGCCCUUCCCUGCCCCUAUUCGCCGGCGGCGUGGCCACAGUCCAGCCCCAAGUUGCGCCGCCGCCCCUUCCUCCUAUCGUUUCUCUGACCUUUCUGCAUCUCCACACCAGCCGCUGCAUCGCUAGAAAUCCCUUCCCCCGCAAGCCCUCCGAUCUGCAUCGCCGCCUCUUUCUUUCUUCAAUCGGCGGCUCCACCCCCCACCGCUCUCUCCGCCGCACAUUCACCAAUCCUGCGCUCUUAAUCCUCCACCAGAUUUCCACCAACUGCACUCGGAUUCCAGUCGCCACCGCCGCCUUCACCGCGCCGGCCACCUCCCUUCCCCCGCAAGCCCUCCCAUCUGCAUCGCCGCCUCUUUCUUUCUUCAAUCGGCGGCUCCAUCCCCCACCGCUCUCUCCGCCGCACCCGCAGCCUCAGCCGCUUCUCCCGCCCCAUUGCGCCGGAGCCGGAGGCCGAGAUGGACUACAUCAAAAACGUGCCCAGGGGAAAAUUCGUCAACACCACGAGGGGCUCGACCUCGCUGGCACCAACCGCGAAUCGCCGAGCCCCUAGAUCCCCAAAGUCUCACCGCCUCUUUGUGAUUUCCGGCGAACUCGGCAGCCAUGUCCGCCGAUCUGCCACCUCCCUUCCCCCAUAUGAUUUUUUGUUUAGAGGAUUAAGGGAUUGCUUACUUCCCUGUUUUGGCGGGUGGCGGCUGGAAAUUUUUUAGACAUUAUCGUACACAAACAGGAAGAAAUUAUCUUUAUAUGACCACGGUUUGUGAUUUGAUAAAGUUCAUCGAUUCAUCACUCAAAUAAAUAUGAAUAAUUGUGCAGGGAUAACAUAGCUGAUAAUGCUAAUCUUGAUUGUUUUGUAUAUAAUUGAGGUGGCUUGAUCUUGAUGGGUUGGCGCUAAUCUUGAUUGUUUCGUUGCAGUCACUGGUGGUCUAGGUCUAGCUGAACAGCUUGCUUUAUUUUCAUUUGACCUUAAAUCUGGUGUUCUGUUGCUAUUUAAGAUGUAAUCAUGCAGAUACCACAAAAAAAUACAGUUGCUCGAAGGUUUUAGUUUGGUAUCAAAUAUUCACAAGUCUUUUUCAUUCUAGAAUCUGUGUGUGUCUCUGUGAGUGCCUAUCCUCAUAUUCAUCUACGGUAUUGGAACAUUAGACCUUUUGUUUCGUAACUUUCCAGUUUUAUGUUUGUCCUCAGCUUUUGAUUUUAGUUUGGGAGCAAUUUGAUUCAAGAAUCAUCUUUUAUUCAAGAAUGAUUCAAGAAUGAUUGUAUAGCUAUGUGUAAUGAUUCAAGAAUGAUUUAUUUGAGACAACAUUUCAGUCUUAACUUUCUUUCUCUGUUUGUUUCUUUCUCUGUUGUGGCCUAAUAUCUGUAUUUUUCUUUGUAGUUGCCUGGCGAUAACUCAAGAAUAUUCAAGGGUUGGAAUGAUUGUCUUUUAUCUAUCCAUCUAUCUAUCUAUAUAUUGAUCAUUUAAACGGAGUUUCUCUUUUCCCCAUAUCUCAAAGAAAAUGUAACCUCAUAUUUUUUUAGAUCAAGGAUAUAUCUAUAGUUGGGGAGAAAUUUAUUUAUUUCGCUACCCACUCAAAAAUAAUUACUACAUAAAACUCUCCCUCCACUCUUUACUGAAAUGAAUUAAUUUUUGCAUUUA
Salvia miltiorrhiza (redroot sage) is the source of this 1917-nucleotide long non-coding RNA. RefSeq lists it as uncharacterized. The transcript is spliced from 2 exons. The record is from RefSeq and is a predicted model, not a curated record. Lineage: Eukaryota; Viridiplantae; Streptophyta; Magnoliopsida; Lamiales; Lamiaceae.